Cyprinus carpio (common carp) is the source of this 789-nucleotide long non-coding RNA. Lineage: Eukaryota; Metazoa; Chordata; Actinopteri; Cypriniformes; Cyprinidae. The record is from Ensembl.
UAGGAGAAGACAUGAGAGAAGUACUCGGGACCAGAUAGGACAGCAGAAAGCAAGGCAGACCCUGAGCUCACAGAGGUCUGAGUGGAGCCUAAACAUGGUCUAAUGGACCAUCUCUUUUUGCUGACCUUUGUCUUCUGUUCAAUCUCGUGGAUUUUCUUCUGGGAGGUACGCUGGAAGAAAAGCAAGGAAAAUCUGAUUGAAGAAUGGCUGCAGAGACAAAGCCUAUCCGAAUACAAGUAUUUGUUUGAAGAUGUUCAGACUCUGGAGGAGCUGAGUUUAUGUGUGCUGUCUCGACUGGAGGAAGUGGUAAAGGCAAAGCAUCACUGGAGGGAGAUUACUGAGGCCCAAGUGCAGCUUCUUAGAGACUUUGCCUUCCAGGAGUGGCUUUGUUCCCAGAGUCUGGAGCACUACUAUCACACCCUGAAGACCCUGGGCUGCACUACCCUGGAUGAUCUAGCACAGUUUGACAGCCAGCUUCAACUCUCUCUAGCUGCGUGGGGCUAUUACUACGAGGAUUACAUCAAACUGUCCACAGGCGUGAGGGUCCUCCAGGCAUCUAAGGGAAAUAGAGAUCAAGACUACGAGAUUCAGUUGGUGCACAGCCUUGCUGAGAGGCGGCUGAAUGAGAAGUGGUCUUUGGCAGGAGCUCUGAUAUUUGGCUGUACCAUUGCCCUGUGCUUUCUGAUAAGGGACCUCAUGUUUUACGUGAUUGAGAGAGCUAAAGUAUACAUGUGGCAAGCGGUGCAAACAACAAUAGCAGGAGAAGAAGCCAUUACUCACCGUGAUUGA